This 253-nucleotide ribosomal RNA is filed under the name uncultured bacterium. Its description in RNAcentral is "partial 16S ribosomal RNA". It matches the Rfam family "Bacterial small subunit ribosomal RNA", at positions 524 to 776 of the family's 1533-position model. The record is from RNAcentral.
UACGAAGGGGGCUAGCGUUGUUCGGAUUUACUGGGCGUAAAGCGCACGUAGGCGGAUCGUUAAGUUAGGGGUGAAAUCCUGGAGCUCAACUCCAGAACUGCCCUUAAUACUGGCGAUCUCGAGUCCGGAAGAGGUAAGUGGAACUCCUAGUGUAGAGGUGGAAUUCGUAGAUAUUAGGAAGAACACCAGUGGCGAAGGCGGCUUACUGGUCCGGUACUGACGCUGAUGUGCGAAAGCGUGGGGAGCAAACAGG